Molecule: ribosomal RNA, 497 nt
Filed under: uncultured bacterium
Lineage: Bacteria
Description: partial 16S ribosomal RNA
Rfam family: Bacterial small subunit ribosomal RNA
Source: RNAcentral
GAUGAACGCUGGCGGCGUGCCUAAUACAUGCAAGUCGAGCGAGCGGACGAGAAGCUUGCUUCUCUGAUGUUAGCGGCGGACGGGUGAGUAACACGUGGAUAACCUACCUAUAAGACUGGGAUAACUUCGGGAAACCGGAGCUAAUACCGGAUGAUAUUUUGAACCGCAUGGUUCAAAAGUGAAAGACGGUCUUGCUGUCACUUAUAGAUGGAUCCGCGCUGCAUUAGCUAGUUGGUAAGGUAACGGCUUACCAAGGCAACGAUGCAUAGCCGACCUGAGAGGGUGAUCGGCCACACUGGAACUGAGACACGGUCCAGACUCCUACGGGAGGCAGCAGUAGGGAAUCUUCCGCAAUGGGCGAAAGCCUGACGGAGCAACGCCGCGUGAGUGAUGAAGGUCUUCGGAUCGUAAAACUCUGUUAUUAGGGAAGAACAUAUGUGUAAGUAACUGUGCACAUCCUGACGGUACCUAAUCAGAAAGCCACGGCUAACUACGUG